AUGGCCUCGGAGCCGGCCGUGGCGUCGGGCGUGUGCGGGAGGAGCGGCCGGGCCGCGCGGCUGCUCGCCCGCGCGCUCCUCGAGUGGAUCCUCAUCGCGCUGCUCCUCGCCAACGGCGUCUUCUCCUACCUCAUCGCCCGCUUCGCCGCCUUCUUCGGCCUGCCGCCGCCCUGCGCGCUCUGCUCCCGCCUCGCCGUCGACAGCCUCUUCGACGCGUCUCGCCCCGGCGCCGAGCCCCUGCGCCGCGUGCUCUGCGACGGGCACGCCGCCGAGGUGUCGCGCCUCGGCUACUGCCGCGCGCACCGCCGCCUCGCCGACGCCGCCGACAUGUGCGAGGACUGCGGCGCGGCGGCGCCGUCCGGGAAGGCGCUGCUGUCGUGGAUGAGGCGGAGCGAGCUCGGCGAGCGGGACCUCGCCUGCGCCUGCUGCGGCGUCGCGCUCGAGAGCGGCUUCUACUCGCCGCCCUUCCUGCUCCCCACGCCGUCGGCCGCGGCUCACGACCCGGGCCGCGGCUGCGACCAGGACGGCCACGGAGACGUGGUCUUCGUGUCCGAGGACGGCCCUGUGAUCGAGCUCUUCGACGAGAAGCCAUUGGUGGAGGAUGAUUCCAUCGGUGUCAUUUCAGCUCACCGCGCUGGCAUUGCCGGCAGCGUUGAGCGACUGGUGCCGCUUGAAUCCAUCGACUCCUUGGCCGUCGGUGUGCCUGAGCUGUCAUCUCACCCCAGUGGUGAAGGGGAGGGAGCAGUUGAUCAUGUGGCCGUGGAGCAGGACUAUGUGGUGCCGGAGAGGAAGGUUAAUGCCACCGAGGAGAAAUUUUUGGUGGCCUCUGAUGCUCAGCACUCUCCUCAGAUGAAUAAUGGAUUGAAAGAGAUGUCAUCAUCAGAGGAUGAGCAAGUUGAACAGGGCACUGUGGAACAUGAAUUGUUUUCCAUGCCAUCUGAUACCAUGGAGCAUGGAUUAGUUGUUGACAAAUCUGAUGGAAAUACUGAAGAGGUGCUGGUUCAACAAGCUGGCAUAAAGGAUGAGUGUGACGCUAUGCCAAUGGAAGGUGGGCCACAUGACGCAGAGGUUUCGAACGAGAACACUGAGGAGAACCAGGUUCAACAAGCUGAGCUGAGUCAGGAAUUGGAUUCGGUAAUGAUACAUCCCAGGGAGCAUGUCGAUGAAGAAUGUGAAGAGGAGAAAAUAUCACUGGCCGAGUUGAAACAAGAAUUGGACUCCGCGGCACUUGAUUCUUGGGAACAAAUUACUGAGAUUUCAAGUGAGAACAUUGAAAACCAUGUUGAACAGCCUCAGCUGAACCAUUUAUCCACUUUUAUGGCAGCAGGCGAAGAUGAUAUUGAAGUUGAUCCAACUGAGGAUCUUCUACCAAGCUUGCACCAACUUUCUGAUGGGCAUUCAAUAAGUUCAGGCAAAUCAUCUUCUGACUGCAGUGAUGUUGAAGAUAAGAGAGUUUCUGAUACACCAACUGAUAUUGAAGAUAUCAGUUAUUUACAGGAAUUACCAGACCCUAAAGCAGUGACUGCUGAUACGAGGUCUGUUGAUUCAAGUGUGGCUAAUAUGUUCACUGAUCUGGAAAGCGUUGAACUGGUGAGUGUUGAUCAACUCAAGUCUGCUUUGGGAGCUGCCCACAAGUCAUUGAGUACGCUAUAUGCAGAGCUUGAAAAUGAGAGGAGUGCAGCAGCUAUAGCUGCUGAUGAGACCAUGGCAAUGAUAAAUCGCUUGCAAGAACAGAAAGCUGCAAUGCAGAUGGAGGCGAUGCAGUACCAGCGACUUAUGGAAGAGCAGUCGGAGUAUGAUCAAGAAGCACUGCAGAGGCUGAAUGAUCUAGUUGUAAAGAGAGAUAAGGAGAGGCAAGAUAUGGAGAGGGAGCUCGAACUGUAUCGCCACAAGAUUCAUCUCUAUGAGGCGAAGGAGAGGAGGAAAAUGUCCAGGCACAAGGCCGAUGACCAGAAUGGAUCAUCCUCAGCUUCAUCAAGUGCUGAGGACAGUGAUGACCUUUCCCAAAGUUUCUAUGAGGGCGAUGAGUCUGCCCAUGGUCUGAAUGGAAGCAAUGGCAGUAGUCCCACUGAUGUUGUUUUACAUGAAACUGCUAGUCAUAUUGUUACACUUGAUGGCUCGCUAGCUGACUGUGAGGAAGAGAGGCUUUCCAUAUUGGAUCAGCUGAAAGUGCUAGAGGAGAGGCUUUUCGACCUCGAAGAUGAAGAAUCUGAUAACUUGAAGAUGGACAAGCAUUUCACAGAAGAUAACCAUUCAAACGGUGCCUCAAAUGGUUUCUCUGAUGAGGACGUCACCUUCAAACUUCAUGAUAGUAGAAAAGGCGUAAGCAAUGGAGGAAAGAAGCUCCUCCCUCUGUUUGAUGAUACUACCAUGAGAAAUGGGAGUGGCAUCCUAACAAAGCAAGUUACCGUCGCAGAUCCUUCAGCAGAAGUCAUGCUGGAACUUGCCAAGGAGCAAGAUAAGCUGGCGAUUGCCAGUGAGAUCGAUCAAGUCCAUGAGCGCUUGCAAGCUCUCGAGGCCGACAAGGAGUUCAUAAAGCAGUGCGUGAGGUCCUUGAACAGAGGAGGCAAGGGUUUUGUUCUUCUUCAGGAGAUCUUGCAGCAUCUCCGGGACCUCAGAAGGAUCGAGCAGCGUGCAAGGAACAACUCUGGAGAAAUCUCGCCCCACUAUCUGCAUCCUUACACGGAUUAA
RNAcentral lists this ribosomal RNA (2691 nucleotides) under Triticum aestivum (bread wheat). RNAcentral's name for it is "partial small subunit ribosomal RNA". Lineage: Eukaryota; Viridiplantae; Streptophyta; Magnoliopsida; Poales; Poaceae. The record is from RNAcentral.